This 468-nucleotide ribosomal RNA is filed under the name uncultured bacterium. RNAcentral describes it as "partial 16S ribosomal RNA". It matches the Rfam family "Bacterial small subunit ribosomal RNA", at positions 28 to 507 of the family's 1533-position model. The record is from RNAcentral.
GACGAACGCUGGCGGCGUGCUUAACACAUGCAAGUCGAACGGAAAGGCCCUGCUUUUGUGGGGUGCUCGAGUGGCGAACGGGUGAGUAACACGUGAGUAACCUGCCCUUGACUUUGGGAUAACUUCAGGAAACUGGGGCUAAUACCGGAUAGGAGCUCCUGCUGCAUGGUGGGGGUUGGAAAGUUUCGGCGGUUGGGGAUGGACUCGCGGCUUAUCAGCUUGUUGGUGGGGUAGUGGCUUACCAAGGCUUUGACGGGUAGCCGGCCUGAGAGGGUGACCGGCCACAUUGGGACUGAGAAACGGCCCAGACUCCUACGGGAGGCAGCAGUGGGGAAGAUUGCAUAAUGGGCGGAAGCCUGAUGCAGCAACGCCGCGUGCGGUAUGACGGCCUUCGGGUUGUAAGCCGCUUUCGCCUGUGACGAAGCGUGAGUGACGGUAAUGAGUAGAGAGGCACCGGCUAACUACGUG